This 626-nucleotide long non-coding RNA is filed under the name Homo sapiens (human). Its description in RNAcentral is "HSALNT0368940". Lineage: Eukaryota; Metazoa; Chordata; Mammalia; Primates; Hominidae. The record is from RNAcentral.
GUUUGGGGUUGAGGGGCUCACUGGCCAGUUUUUCCAUGUUUCUCAAAUAAAACUCUGGUGUCAUCAAGAAACAUGGUGGAGGGAGACAUGAAGACUUUAGAGACAGGAACCACUGCAGAAAUAUCAGGAGAUGGGGAGGCAGAGGAAAGAAAGGAGAGAUCUGUGGAUCCCGUGAGCACCCCAAAUUGGAACCACUCCUUACCGUGCCUCAAGGAAGCAACAGACCUCCAAACUGCAUGGUGUACCUCAAAAGAGCAAGACCCAAGCAAAAAGAAUGCUGCCUGAUUUCCUGACAUUAACAAUGAACACAGCCAGACUCAAGAGGAGGAAGCUACUGGGACCACGGCAGUCAAGGAAACACCAUCAACACCCAGUCUUCCUCCCACAUUACUCAGAGACUUUUAUCUUUGCCAUCCUUAAACACAUUCCUGCAGGUCUCCAGAUCCCUUCCAGCCCAUCUUAGAUAAAACUGUGCAGGAAAAAUGUGCUUCUAAUAUAGAGGUUUCCAUCUGGACACCUUGUAUUUGAAUCACAACUCAAACUUUUUUAAUGCCACCCUCUGUUUCCCUACUGGAUCUUAAAGACAAUUGGCACUGAAGCAUAAUAAAAUAAUCAAUUAUGUCUCA